GAUGAAGAACGCAGCGAAAUGCGAUAAGUAAUGUGAAUUGCAGAAUUCAGUGAAUCAUCGAAUCUUUGAACGCACAUUGCGCCCCUUGGUAUUCCGAGGGGCAUGCCUGUUCGAGCGUCAUUAUAACCCCUCAAGCUCAGCUUGGUGUUGGGGCCUGCUGCACUGGCAGCCCUUAAAAUCAGUGGCGGCGCCAUCUGGCUCUAAGCGUAGUAAUUCUUCUCGCUAUGGAGUCCUGGUGGAUGCUUGCCAUCAACCCCCAAUUUUUCUAUGGUUGACCUCGGAUCAGGUAGGGAUACCCGCUAAACUUAAGCAUAUCAAUAAGCGGAGGA
Molecule: unclassified non-coding RNA, 329 nt
Filed under: soil metagenome
Description: partial contains 5.8S ribosomal RNA, internal transcribed spacer 2, and large subunit ribosomal RNA
Rfam family: 5.8S ribosomal RNA (bases 1-120)
Source: RNAcentral